Molecule: ribosomal RNA, 749 nt
Filed under: uncultured bacterium
Lineage: Bacteria
Description: bacterial SSU rRNA
Rfam family: Bacterial small subunit ribosomal RNA
Source: RNAcentral
ACACAUGCAAGUCGAACGAAGCACUCUAUUUGAUUUCCUUCGGGAUUGAUUAUUUUGUGACUGAGUGGCGGAUGGGUGAGUAACGCGUGGGUAACCUGCCUCAUACAGGGGGAUAACAGUUGGAAACGACUGCUAAUACCGCAUAAGCGCACGGUACCGCAUGGUACCGUGUGAAAAACUCCGGUGGUAUGAGAUGGACCCGCGUCUGAUUAGCUAGUUGGUGGGGUAACAGCCUACCAAGGCGACGAUCAGUAGCCGACCUGAGAGGGUGACCGGCCACAUUGGGACUGAGACACGGCCCAAACUCCUACGGGAGGCAGCAGUGGGGAAUAUUGCACAAUGGGGGAAACCCUGAUGCAGCGACGCCGCGUGAGCGAAGAAGUAUUUCGGUAUGUAAAGCUCUAUCAGCAGGGAAGAAAAAAUGACGGUACCUGACUAAGAAGCACCGGCUAAAUACGUGCCAGCAGCCGCGGUAAUACGUAUGGUGCAAGCGUUAUCCGGAUUUACUGGGUGUAAAGGGAGCGCAGGCGGUGCGGCAAGUCUGAUGUGAAAGCCCGGGGCUCAACCCCGGUACUGCAUUGGAAACUGUCGUACUAGGGUGUCGGAGGGGUAAGUGGGAUUCCUAGUGUAGCGGUGAAAUGCGUAGAUAUUAGGAGGAACACCAGUGGCGAAGGCGGCUUACUGGACGAUAACUGACGCUGAGGCUCGAAAGCGUGGGGAGCAAACAGGAUUAGAUACCCUGGUAGUCC